Molecule: ribosomal RNA, 515 nt
Filed under: uncultured bacterium
Lineage: Bacteria
Description: bacterial SSU rRNA
Rfam family: Bacterial small subunit ribosomal RNA
Source: RNAcentral
CGGCGUGCCUAAUACAUGCAAGUCGAACGUCAGUUUGUGGUUGAAAUGAUAUGAAGAACUUGUUCAGAUUUGAUUUUCAACAUUGCAAUGAGUGGCGAACGGGUGAGUAACACGUGGGAAACCUACCUCUUAGCAGGGAUAACAUUUGGAAACAAAUGCUAAUACCGUAUAAUAAUUAAAACCGCAUGGUUUUAGUUUAAAAGAUGGUCUUGCUAUCACUAAGAGAUGGUCCCGCGGUGUAUUAGUUAGUUGGUGAGGUAAUGGCUCACCAAGACAAUGAUACAUAGCCGAGUUGAGAGACUGACCGGCCACAAUGGGACUGAGACACGGCCCAUACUCCUACGGGAGGCAGCAGUAGGGAAUCUUCCACAAUGGACGAAAGUCUGAUGGAGCAACGCCGCGUGUGUGAUGAAGGGUUUCGGCUCGUAAAACACUGUUGUAAGAGAAGAAUGACAUUGAGAGUAACUGUUCAAUGUGUGACGGUAUCUUACCAGAAAGGAACGGCUAAAUACGUG